CCAGAUGUGGGAGUAAAGCUCUUGAACGGAUGCCCACAUUGGGGGCCUACUGCUGUGACAGCCACAGUGCUUGCUGGGCUGCAUCCUCUGAUAGUAUAUUUUUGUUAGCUGGCUGCCCGGAAGCCCUCAACGGCUUGAUUUGUUUUGUGAUCCUGCAAGGACCUUCCUGGGCUUGAUGACAACCGAGAAUUCAAGCGCUUGUUUGCUUUGAUAACUUGUUUAUUCAUUCCACUUAUUAAGAAAGAGGAAAGAGGAAAAGCAAAAAAGACCCACAUAUAUCCUCUGAAAAAAAAUGUGAAAGAAACAAACAGAAGUCUAUAUAGAUGUUUUCAAAAUGGCAAGAUAAAUCUAGAAAGGGGCCAAAAGGGGCCAAAGAAGUGAGCGAACAUGGGACUUGGAUAGUGGAAUCAUCAAGAGGAGUCUCCCGCAGCCCAGUAAAUGCACCCUCGCCCAUACAGAAAAUUCCAAGAUGUUUACCCUAACAUUACAACAAAGGUUUAAGCAAACUAGAAUAACUUUCAUGUGUGUUGCAAAGUUCCACAUAAAGUAUCUUAUACGACUGCAUCUUCACUCUCAAUAUUUGUGCAAAGGUUAAGUUAUUCUUAAAUAUUACCUGAUUUUUCAGAAAAGCAUACAAUGUUAUUUUAUAGUAUGUGUGAUGUUUUUAUACUAUACUAUAGUAGUAUACAUGUUGUUAUACUGUACUAAAGUAGUUGUUAUAAUACAGUAGUUAUAACUGAUGUAGGAUUACAUGUAUACUUGUACAUCUUUCCAUAAUAAAACGUCAUGGAAAGUAAGACAUUUCAAGGUUUAACUUUCUAAAAUUUUAUUGGCAUGAUUCUUUAACAGGAAUUAUUGUGAUUCUUGAACUAAUAAAUUCACUUUCCAGCUAUAAAACUGCCAUCAUGUAAUAGAAAGUUCCAUGUUCCUUGCCUUUAUUUAUUUAUUUAUUUUUUGCAAAUAUUGAUAUUUUUGUUAUCAAGCAAGUUCAUACUAUUUAAAAACUUCCUCAAGUAUAUUUGCUCAAACAGAGAUCAAUAACCCAUCAGAGACAGUCAUGCUAGCACAGCUACAUUUAGAAAAAACACUUGUUCUGAGUAAACAUAAUUGCCAAAACAAUAUAAAAGGACAUUGUUGAUACAAUUGUUGAUACAAACUGAAACUAUUAUUUGUUACAUGCAUAUUAUACCAAACUAUCUCUCCAGUGAGUAGCAUACACAAAUUC
Long non-coding RNA from Ahaetulla prasina, 1225 nucleotides. RefSeq lists it as uncharacterized. Lineage: Eukaryota; Metazoa; Chordata; Lepidosauria; Squamata; Colubridae. The record is from RefSeq and is a predicted model, not a curated record. The transcript is spliced from 4 exons.